RNAcentral lists this ribosomal RNA (759 nucleotides) under uncultured bacterium. RNAcentral's name for it is "bacterial SSU rRNA". It matches the Rfam family "Bacterial small subunit ribosomal RNA", at positions 122 to 857 of the family's 1533-position model. RNAcentral also lists the same sequence under 1 other name. The record is from RNAcentral.
CAACCUGCCGUAAAGAUGGGGACAACAGUCCGAAAGGACUGCUAAUACCGAAUGUUGUAAAUCUUCCGCAUGGAAGAUUUACUAAAGGUGGCCUCUACUUGUAAGCUAUCGCUUUACGAUGGGUCUGCGUCUGAUUAGCUGGUUGGUGGGGUAACGGCCUACCAAGGCGACGAUCAGUAGCCGGUCUGAGAGGAUGAACGGCCACAUUGGAACUGAGACACGGUCCAGACUCCUACGGGAGGCAGCAGUGGGGAAUCUUCCGCAGUGGGCGCAAGCCUGACGGAGCAACGCCGCGUGAGUGAAGAAGGGUUUCGACUCGUAAAGCUCUGUUGUCGGGGACGAACGUGGAGACGGCGAAUAGUCGUUUCCAAUGACGGUACCUGACGAGGAAGCCACGGCUAACUACGUGCCAGCAGCCGCGGUAAUACGUAGGUGGCGAGCGUUGUCCGGAAUUAUUGGGCGUAAAGGGAGCGCAGGUGGGAAGGUAAGUCUAUCUUAAAAGUGCGGGGCUCAACCCCGUGAGGGGAUGGAAACUAUCUUUCUUGAGUGCAGGAGAGGAAAGCGGAAUUCCUAGUGUAGCGGUGAAAUGCGUAGAUAUUAGGAGGAACACCAGUGGCGAAGGCGGCUUUCUGGACUGUAACUGACGCUGAGGCUCGAAAGCGUGGGGAGCGAACAGGAUUAGAUACCCUGGUAGUCCACGCCGUAAACGAUGAAUGCUAGGUGUAGUAGGUAUCGACCCCUUCUGUGCCGGAGUUAACG